This 344-nucleotide ribosomal RNA is filed under the name uncultured Pseudomonadota bacterium. Its description in RNAcentral is "bacterial SSU rRNA". It matches the Rfam family "Bacterial small subunit ribosomal RNA", at positions 29 to 374 of the family's 1533-position model. The record is from RNAcentral. Lineage: Bacteria; Pseudomonadati; Pseudomonadota.
AACGAACGCUGGCGGCGUGCUUAACACAUGCAAGUCGAACGCGAAAGUUUUCUUCGGAAAGCGAGUAGAGUGGCGCACGGGUGAGUAACGCGUAAGUUAUCUACCUCGGCAUCUGGAAUAACUCACCGAAAGGUGUGCUAAUACCGGAUACGUUGAGUAAUCAGGAAAGGUGGCCUCUGAAUAUGCUACUGUGCUGAGAUGAGCUUGCGUACCAUUAGCUAGUUGGCAGGGUAAUGGCCUACCAAGGCGACGAUGGUUAGCGGGUCUGAGAGGAUGAUCCGCCACACUGGAACUGGAACACGGACCAGACUCCUACGGGAGCGCCAAGGCACACAGGGGAUAGG